ACGGGUGAGUAACACGUGGGAACGUACCCUUUGGUUCGGAAUAACGCUGGGAAACUAGCGCUAAUACCGGAUACGCCCUUUUGGGGAAAGGCUUGCUGCCGAAGGAUCGGCCCGCGUCUGAUUAGCUAGUUGGUGGGGUAAUGGCCUACCAAGGCGACGAUCAGUAGCUGGUCUGAGAGGAUGAUCAGCCACACUGGGACUGAGACACGGCCCAGACUCCUACGGGAGGCAGCAGUGGGGAAUAUUGGACAAUGGGCGCAAGCCUGAUCCAGCCAUGCCGCGUGAGUGAUGAAGGCCUUAGGGUUGUAAAGCUCUUUUGUCCGGGACGAUAAUGACGGUACCGGAAGAAUAAGCCCCGGCUAACUUCCUGCCAGCAUCCUCGGUAAUACAAAAGGGGCUAGCGUUGCUCGGAAUCACUGGGCGUAAAGGGCGCGUAGGCCGCCAUUCAAGUCGGGGGUGAAGGCCUGUGGCUCAACCACCGAAUUGCCUUCGAUACUGUUUGGCUUGAGUCUGGUACAGGUCGGUGGAACUGCAAUUGUAGAGAUGA
Molecule: ribosomal RNA, 547 nt
Filed under: uncultured Methylobacterium sp.
Lineage: Bacteria; Pseudomonadati; Pseudomonadota; Alphaproteobacteria; Hyphomicrobiales; Methylobacteriaceae
Description: bacterial SSU rRNA
Rfam family: Bacterial small subunit ribosomal RNA
Source: RNAcentral